AUCUUCUUCUUCAGCUCCGACUCGCGAACUCGAAGCACCGUGUUCACUCCUUCGGUAAAGCACAGGCCCGACCAGAGCAUCGAUCGUUAUGGACAACCAACCUGGAUACGACUCUACAUAUCAGUCCAGCUUGGACGAAUCACAGAUACCCGCGUCUACUGGUAA
Dermacentor albipictus is the source of this 165-nucleotide non-coding RNA. The record is from RefSeq and is a predicted model, not a curated record. NCBI's taxonomy places the organism in Eukaryota, Metazoa, Arthropoda, Arachnida, Ixodida, Ixodidae.